AUGCUCGCUUUGGCAGCACACAUACAAAAAUUAGAAUGAUACAGAGAAGAUUAGUAGGGCCCCUGUGCAAGGGUGACACACAAAUUCAUGAAGUGUUCCAUAUAAAA
This is a small nuclear RNA of Nomascus leucogenys (northern white-cheeked gibbon), 107 nucleotides long. The record is from Ensembl. Lineage: Eukaryota; Metazoa; Chordata; Mammalia; Primates; Hylobatidae.